GGGAUGCUGGAGGUAUCAGAAGUGCGAAUGCUGACAUAAGUAACGAUAAAGCGGGUGAAAAGCCCGCUCGCCGGAAGACCAAGGGUUCCUGUCCAACGUUAAUCGGGGCAGGGUGAGUCGACCCCUAAGGCGAGGCCGAAAGGCGUAGUCGAUGGGAAACGGGUUAAUAUUCCCGUACUUGGUGUUACUGCGAAGGGGGGACGGAGAAGGCUAUGUUGGCCGGGCGACGGUUGUCCCGGUUUAAGCGUGUAGGUGUGUGUUCCAGGUAAAUCCGGUUCACUUUAACACUGAGGCGUGACGACGAGGCACUACGGUGCUGAAGCAACAAAUGCCCUGCUUCCAGGAAAAGCCUCUAAGCAUCAGGUAACAUCAAAUCGUACCCCAAACCGACACAGGUGGUCAGGUAGAGAAUACCAAGGCGCUUGAGAGAACUCGGGUGAAGGAACUAGGCAAAAUGGUGCCGUAACUUCGGGAGAAGGCACGCUGACACGUAGGUGAAGUGAUUUACUCAUGGAGCUGAAGUCAGUCGAAGAUACCAGCUGGCUGCAACUGUUUAUUAAAAACACAGCACUGUGCAAACACGAAAGUGGACGUAUACGGUGUGACGCCUGCCCGGUGCCGGAAGGUUAAUUGAUGGGGUCAGCGCAAGCGAAGCUCCUGAUCGAAGCCCCGGUAAACGGCGGCCGUAACUAUAACGGUCCUAAGGUAGCGAAAUUCCUUGUCGGGUAAGUUCCGACCUGCACGAAUGGCGUAAUGAUGGCCAGGCUGUCUCCACCCGAGACUCAGUGAAAUUGAACUCGCUGUGAAGAUGCAGUGUACCCGCGGCAAGACGGAAAGACCCCGUGAACCUUUACUAUAGCUUGACACUGAACAUUGAGCCUUGAUGUGUAGGAUAGGUGGGAGGCUUUGAAGUGUGGACGCCAGUCUGCAUGGAGCCGACCUUGAAAUACCACCCUUUAAUGUUUGAUGUUCUAACGUGGACCCGUAAUCCGGGUUGCGGACAGUGUCUGGUGGGUAGUUUGACUGGGGCGGUCUCCUCCUAAAGAGUAACGGAGGAGCACGAAGGUUGGCUAAUCCUGGUCGGACAUCAGGAGGUUAGUGCAAUGGCAUAAGCCAGCUUGACUGCGAGCGUGACGGCGCGAGCAGGUGCGAAAGCAGGUCAUAGUGAUCCGGUGGUUCUGAAUGGAAGGGCCAUCGCUCAACGGAUAAAAGGUACUCCGGGGAUAACAGGCUGAUACCGCCCAAGAGUUCAUAUCGACGGCGGUGUUUGGCACCUCGAUGUCGGCUCAUCACAUCCUGGGGCUGAAGUAGGUCCCAAGGGUAUGGCUGUUCGCCAUUUAAAGUGGUACGCGAGCUGGGUUUAGAACGUCGUGAGACAGUUCGGUCCCUAUCUGCCGUGGGCGCUGGAGAACUGAGGGGGGCUGCUCCUAGUACGAGAGGACCGGAGUGGACGCAUCACUGGUGUUCGGGUUGUCAUGCCAAUGGCACUGCCCGGUAGCUAAAUGCGGAAGAGAUAAGUGCUGAAAGCAUCUAAGCACGAAACUUGCCCCGAGAUGAGUUCUCCCUGAGACUUAGAGUCUCCUGAAGGAACGUUGAA
This 1597-nucleotide ribosomal RNA is filed under the name Salmonella enterica. RNAcentral's name for it is "partial 23S ribosomal RNA". It matches the Rfam family "Bacterial large subunit ribosomal RNA", at positions 1267 to 2842 of the family's 2925-position model. Lineage: Bacteria; Pseudomonadati; Pseudomonadota; Gammaproteobacteria; Enterobacterales; Enterobacteriaceae. The record is from RNAcentral.